GAAAGCUGGGUGCCUGGAUGAUCUGUCAGAAGAGGCUCUAAGGGAGAAGACUCCAGACUGAGAGACUGACACUCUAAGAGAGAUGUGGUGCUUGGAGGAGGGGAAGUUCAAGUUGCAAGACUGAAGUCUCCAGGUCUAUUCUGAAUGGAAUUCUUAUGGAAGAAUUUGAACAAACUCUGCACAUGGACUGCCUACUGGACUAUAAUUUUUUAAAUUAAUUCCAGAAGGAUUUCUACAAAUCAGCAGCCUCACCAUCUCUGAUAUGAAACUGACCUAAGGACUUUAUUCAUAUCUCAACAUGUGUUGGAAGGUGUAAGUAGAAGAUACACAAACAUGGAAUGGAAGAUAAAACCCUCCUUUUCUUGGGAAGGCCUAGGAUUGGGUGACACAAAAUCAACAUGCCCCAGAAACUGAAAACCCAUCAGGAAAAAUACAGAAAUUCGAUCAAAGGGUCGUUUUGAAAUAAUUCUUUCCUGCGGGAAGACUAGCUGCAGCCACCACGUUUUUGAAGAAAUUCUUCUGCCCAGCUCUGGUGCUCUUCUUCUGACUGCUCACCUGACCAAGUCUCUUCUCAUCUCAAG
This is a long non-coding RNA of Mauremys mutica (yellowpond turtle), 581 nucleotides long. RefSeq lists it as uncharacterized. The transcript has 5 exons. The record is from RefSeq and is a predicted model, not a curated record. NCBI's taxonomy places the organism in Eukaryota, Metazoa, Chordata, Testudines, Geoemydidae.